CGAAGGAUGCAAGCGUUAUCCGGAUUCACUGGGUUUAAAGGGUGUGCAGGUGGGAUAAUAAGUCAGUGGUGAAAGCCCCCGACUCAAUCGGGGAACUGCCAUAGAUACUGUUAUUCUUGAGUGUGGUUGAGGUGGGCGGAAUAUGACAUGUAGCGGUGAAAUGCGUAGAUAUGUCAUAGAACACCGAUCGCGAAGGCAGCUCGCCAAACCAUUACUGACACUGAAACACGAAAGUGCGGGGAUCAAACAGGAUUAGAUACCCUGGUAGUCCGCACUGUAAACGAUGAUCACUCGUUGUUGGCGAUACACAGUCAGCGACUAAGCGAAAGCAUUAAGUGAUCCACCUGGGAAGUACGACCGCAAGGUUG
Molecule: ribosomal RNA, 368 nt
Filed under: uncultured organism
Description: bacterial SSU rRNA
Rfam family: Bacterial small subunit ribosomal RNA
Source: RNAcentral